GAUGAACGCUGGCGGCGUGCCUAAUACAUGCAAGUCGAGCGAACAGACGAGGAGCUUGCUCCUCUGACGUUAGCGGCGGACGGGUGAGUAACACGUGGAUAACCUACCUAUAAGACUGGGAUAACUUCGGGAAACCGGAGCUAAUACCGGAUAACAUGUUGAACCGCAUGGUUCAACAGUGAAAGACGGUUUUGCUGUCACUUAUAGAUGGAUCCGCGUCGCAUUAGCUAGUUGGUAAGGUAACGGCUUAACAAGGCAACGAUGCGUAGCCGACCUGAGAGGGUGAUCGGCCACACUGGAACUGAGACACGGUCCAGACUCCUACGGGAGGCAGCAGUAGGGAAUCUUCCGCAAUGGGCGAAAGCCUGACGGAGCAACGCCGCGUGAGUGAAGAAGGUCUUCGGAUCGUAAAACUCUGUUAUUAGGGAAGAACAAAUGUGUAAGUAACUAUGCACGUCUUGACGGUACCUAAUCAGAAAGCCACGGCUAACUACGUG
Molecule: ribosomal RNA, 497 nt
Filed under: uncultured bacterium
Lineage: Bacteria
Description: partial 16S ribosomal RNA
Rfam family: Bacterial small subunit ribosomal RNA
Source: RNAcentral